AUACGGAGGAUCCGAGCGUUACCCGGAUUUAUUGGGUUUAAAGGGUGCGCAGGCGGCCAUUUAAGUCAGCGGUUAAAUCGUGGGGCUCAACCCCAUUCUGCCGUUGAUACUGGGUGGCUUGAUUGCGGUCGAGGUUGGCGGAAUUCGUUGUGUAGCGGUGAAAUGCAUAGAUAUGACGAAGAACACCGAUUGCGUAGGCAGCUGACCAGAUCGCAAAUGACGCUCAUGCACGAAAGUGCGGGGAUCGAACAGGAUUAGAUACCCUGGUAGUCCGCACAGUAAACGAUGAAUACUUGUUUUCGGCGAUAUAAUGUCGGAGGCAAAGCGAAAGCGAUAAGUAUUCCACCUGGGGAGUACGCCGGCAACGGUGAAACUCAAAGGAAUUGACGGGG
This 392-nucleotide ribosomal RNA is filed under the name uncultured bacterium. RNAcentral describes it as "partial 16S ribosomal RNA". It matches the Rfam family "Bacterial small subunit ribosomal RNA", at positions 523 to 918 of the family's 1533-position model. The record is from RNAcentral.